Molecule: ribosomal RNA, 157 nt
Filed under: Citrobacter sp. Cpo089
Lineage: Bacteria; Pseudomonadati; Pseudomonadota; Gammaproteobacteria; Enterobacterales; Enterobacteriaceae
Description: partial 16S ribosomal RNA
Rfam family: Bacterial small subunit ribosomal RNA
Source: RNAcentral
AAAUUGAAGAGUUUGAUCAUGGCUCAGAUUGAACGCUGGCGGCAGGCCUAACACAUGCAAGUCGAACGGUAGCACAGAGGAGCUUGCUCCUUGGGUGACGAGUGGCGGACGGGUGAGUAAUGUCUGGGAAACUGCCCGAUGGAGGGGGAUAACUACU